Molecule: long non-coding RNA, 244 nt
Organism: Empidonax traillii (willow flycatcher)
Lineage: Eukaryota; Metazoa; Chordata; Aves; Passeriformes; Tyrannidae
Exons: 4
Source: RefSeq, a predicted model, not a curated record
AGGUACGAGGACGCCGGGCCGGAGGUGCAGCUGAGCCAGGAGCUCCCCGAGUCCCUGAGGAGCCUCAGGCCUGAAGGGCACGUGCUCCGCGAUCGCUUCAAGAGCCUCCAGAGGAGGAACCUGAUCGAGCCUCGGGAAAGGGCCAAGUUCAAGAGGAGGUACCGGGUGAAAUACGUGGAAAAAAGGGCCUUCCGGGCAGUCACGGUGUGAUCGGAGACCCCCCAAUAAAGGACUGGGAUCUGCA